CGGAACUAGUUUCUUUAAAUGUUAGCAAACAGCGGAGCGACCCAGGUGCGAAGUCUUCUCGCGAGAUCACCAGUUCCGUGAGCACUGGGCUGAUCUGGUCUCGCGAGAUAAUGGCCUGAGACUAGCUCCUCUGCUUCCGGUUCAAAAUCUUCCUCUUGCUCCAUUGGUUCUUCCUCCUGCAUGAUGGCUGGCUCGUGCCGGAUCGUCUCAGGCUGGACCUGCUCGUGCUGGACCUGCUCAUGCUGGAACGAUUCUUGUUGAACCGGCUCGUGCUGGACCUGCUCUUGCUGAACCGGCUCGUGCUGGACCUGCUCUUGCUGAACCGGCCGGUGCUCAAACUGUUUGUGCUGAACCGGCUCGUGUUGGAACGGCUCGUGUUGGAACGGCUCAGGCUGGAACGAUUCUUGUUGAACCGGCUCGUGCUGGACUUCCAUCUCUGGUUCUUUCAGUGUUGCAGUGGGAACCAUUUCUGAAACUGUGGCAGCUGGAGCAGUGAUGGUUUCGAUCUGUAUGACAAAGCAGAGAGGGACCCAAUGAUAAGUAAAUAAACGGAGGGACGCCUAA
Platichthys flesus (European flounder) is the source of this 564-nucleotide long non-coding RNA. RefSeq lists it as uncharacterized. The record is from RefSeq and is a predicted model, not a curated record. The transcript is spliced from 2 exons. Lineage: Eukaryota; Metazoa; Chordata; Actinopteri; Pleuronectiformes; Pleuronectidae.